RNAcentral lists this ribosomal RNA (2927 nucleotides) under Cronobacter sakazakii. Its description in RNAcentral is "bacterial LSU rRNA". It matches the Rfam family "Bacterial large subunit ribosomal RNA". The record is from RNAcentral. Lineage: Bacteria; Pseudomonadati; Pseudomonadota; Gammaproteobacteria; Enterobacterales; Enterobacteriaceae.
GGGUUGUGAGGUUAAGCGAACAAGCGUACACGGUGGAUGCCCUGGCAGUCAGAGGCGAUGAAGGACGUGCUAAUCUGCGAAAAGCGCCGGUAAGGUGAUAUGAACCGUUAUAACCGGCGAUGUCCGAAUGGGGAAACCCGGUGCACUUCGGUGCAUCAUCGUUAGCUGAAUACAUAGGCUAACGAGGCGAACCGGGGGAACUGAAACAUCUAAGUACCCCGAGGAAAAGAAAUCAACCGAGAUUCCCCCAGUAGCGGCGAGCGAACGGGGAACAGCCCAGAGCCUGAAUCAGCUUGUGUGUCAGUGGAACGGUCUGGAAAGGCCGGCGAUACAGGGUGACAGCCCCGUACACGAAGGCACACAGGCUGUGAGCUCGAUGAGUAGGGCGGGACACGUGAUAUCCUGUCUGAAGAUGGGGGGACCAUCCUCCAAGGCUAAAUACUCCUGACUGACCGAUAGUGAACCAGUACCGUGAGGGAAAGGCGAAAAGAACCCCGGCGAGGGGAGUGAAACAGAACCUGAAACCGUGUACGUACAAGCAGUGGGAGCCUUCGUAAGAGGGUGACUGCGUACCUUUUGUAUAAUGGGUCAGCGACUUAUAUUCUGUAGCAAGGUUAACCGUAUAGGGGAGCCGAAGGGAAACCGAGUCUUAACCGGGCGUUAAGUUGCAGGGUAUAGACCCGAAACCCGGUGAUCUAGCCAUGGGCAGGUUGAAGGUUGGGUAACACUAACUGGAGGACCGAACCGACUAAUGUUGAAAAAUUAGCGGAUGACCUGUGGCUGGGGGUGAAAGGCCAAUCAAACCGGGAGAUAGCUGGUUCUCCCCGAAAGCUAUUUAGGUAGCGCCUCGUGAACUCAUCUCCGGGGGUAGAGCACUGUUUCGGCUAGGGGGCCAUCCCGGCUUACCAACCCGAUGCAAACUGCGAAUACCGGAGAAUGUUAUCACGGGAGACACACGGCGGGUGCUAACGUCCGUCGUGAAGAGGGAAACAACCCAGACCGCCAGCUAAGGUCCCAAAGUCAUGGUUAAGUGGGAAACGAUGUGGGAAGGCCCAGACAGCCAGGAUGUUGGCUUAGAAGCAGCCAUCAUUUAAAGAAAGCGUAAUAGCUCACUGGUCGAGUCGGCCUGCGCGGAAGAUGUAACGGGGCUAAACCAUGCACCGAAGCUGCGGCAGCGACACUAUGUGUUGUUGGGUAGGGGAGCGUUCUGUAAGCCUGCGAAGGUGUGCUGUGAGGCAUGCUGGAGGUAUCAGAAGUGCGAAUGCUGACAUAAGUAACGAUAAAGCGGGUGAAAAGCCCGCUCGCCGGAAGACCAAGGGUUCCUGUCCAACGUUAAUCGGGGCAGGGUGAGUCGACCCCUAAGGCGAGGCCGAAAGGCGUAGUCGAUGGGAAACAGGUUAAUAUUCCUGUACUUGGUGUUACUGCGAAGGGGGGACGGAGAAGGCUAUGUCGGCCGGGCGACGGUUGUCCCGGUUUAAGCGUGUAGGCUGACUUUCCAGGCAAAUCCGGAAGGUUAAGGCUGAGGCGUGAUGACGAGGCACUACGGUGCUGAAGUGACAAAUGCCCUGCUUCCAGGAAAAGCCUCUAAGCAUCAGGUAACAUCAAAUCGUACCCCAAACCGACACAGGUGGUCAGGUAGAGAAUACCAAGGCGCUUGAGAGAACUCGGGUGAAGGAACUAGGCAAAAUGGUGCCGUAACUUCGGGAGAAGGCACGCUGACAUGUAGGUGAAGCCCCUGCGGGUGGAGCUGAAGUCAGUCGAAGAUACCAGCUGGCUGCAACUGUUUAUUAAAAACACAGCACUGUGCAAACACGAAAGUGGACGUAUACGGUGUGACGCCUGCCCGGUGCCGGAAGGUUAAUUGAUGGGGUUAUCGCAAGAGAAGCUCCUGAUCGAAGCCCCGGUAAACGGCGGCCGUAACUAUAACGGUCCUAAGGUAGCGAAAUUCCUUGUCGGGUAAGUUCCGACCUGCACGAAUGGCGUAAUGAUGGCCAGGCUGUCUCCACCCGAGACUCAGUGAAAUUGAACUCGCUGUGAAGAUGCAGUGUACCCGCGGCAAGACGGAAAGACCCCGUGAACCUUUACUACAGCUUGACACUGAACAUUGAGCCUUGAUGUGUAGGAUAGGUGGGAGGCUUUGAAGCGUGGACGCCAGUCUGCGUGGAGCCAACCUUGAAAUACCACCCUUUAAUGUUUGAUGUUCUAACCUGGCGCCGUGAUCCGGCGUGGGGACAGUGUCUGGUGGGUAGUUUGACUGGGGCGGUCUCCUCCCAAAGUGUAACGGAGGAGCACGAAGGUCAGCUAAUCCUGGUCGGACAUCAGGAGGUUAGUGCAAUGGCAUAAGCUGGCUUGACUGCGAGAGUGACGGCUCGAGCAGGUGCGAAAGCAGGUCAUAGUGAUCCGGUGGUUCUGUAUGGAAGGGCCAUCGCUCAACGGAUAAAAGGUACUCCGGGGAUAACAGGCUGAUACCGCCCAAGAGUUCAUAUCGACGGCGGUGUUUGGCACCUCGAUGUCGGCUCAUCACAUCCUGGGGCUGAAGUAGGUCCCAAGGGUAUGGCUGUUCGCCAUUUAAAGUGGUACGCGAGCUGGGUUUAGAACGUCGUGAGACAGUUCGGUCCCUAUCUGCCGUGGGCGCUGGAGAAUUGAGGGGGGCUGCUCCCAGUACGAGAGGACCGGAGUGGACGCAUCACUGGUGUUCGGGUUGUCAUGCCAAUGGCACUGCCCGGUAGCUAAAUGCGGAAGAGAUAAGUGCUGAAAGCAUCUAAGCACGAAACUUGCCCCGAGAUGAGUUCUCCCUGAGACUGUAAGUCUCCUGAAGGAACGUUGAAGACGACGACGUUGAUAGGCCGGGUGUGUAAGCGCAGCGAUGCGUUGAGCUAACCGGUACUAAUGAACCGUGAGGCUUAACCUUACAACGCCAAAGAAGU